GAUUUGGGCGGCCCGGGUGGGGGAGCCUUCGGGCUCGCCGGUUCCUGUGUUCCGGUCUGUCAACCCUGCUUUGGGCCGCCACCCGU
Rhizobacter sp. Root29 is the source of this 86-nucleotide non-coding RNA. Lineage: Bacteria; Pseudomonadati; Pseudomonadota; Betaproteobacteria; Burkholderiales; Sphaerotilaceae. The record is from Rfam.